Molecule: ribosomal RNA, 999 nt
Filed under: Triticum aestivum (bread wheat)
Lineage: Eukaryota; Viridiplantae; Streptophyta; Magnoliopsida; Poales; Poaceae
Description: partial small subunit ribosomal RNA
Source: RNAcentral
AUGGACAGUAGUUCUGUUUUCUCACCUCGGUAUAUUAGGCAGCUGUCGCUGACAUGUGGGAUCCCUCGCUCAUGGACUGUGCCUUGUAGAGGAGAGGAGGGCACCCCAUUGGGUGAUAACCCUAGCCGCCAUCCCCAUCCCAGCGCGCCCCCUCCUUCGCAGCCGCCGCCACGUCUCCCGUCGUUGAGCUCGCCUCCGCCGCUGCUCUCCCCUGUCCCUCCCGCACCACCAACCCCGACUCCUCCCCUGUACACGGCGAGCUCGACGAGCAAGGCAGACAUUUGGGCGCUGCUGUACGAGGGCCAUGCCGAACACGCCCCGGAGCACGACGGCCUCUGCUUCCGCUUCUCAUCUGAUGGGCACCUCUGCGCGCGACGGCCGCGCAUCGCCAUCAUCGGGACGAGCGACAAGGCCAAAGGCGACGGAGGCGACGGCCGCGCGUCGCCAUCACUGGGAGGAGCGACGCCCGCCGAGACGGCCGUCCAUGUCGCCGGUGUCAUCAACCUUCAGGUGCUCUUCCUCCCGUCUCAGCUAGGGUUCCUGUCCUUCCUCUCACUUCUUUCUCUCCCUCGCAUAUCUCUCUCCGUCGUCGUCGUCACCAUCCACACGAGGAGCACACAGACGGCUAAUCCGUCCAGAUGGGGGGAGGCCGUCGUGGUGGUGGGGCUGGACUUUGCCGCCUGCGACGAGGCGGCCGUCGACGCCGCGGUGGAGGCGGCAUGGCAUUGCUUUGGCCACGGCGAGCUCAACACCCUGGUUAACUGCUGCUCCUAUGAAGUCACACCUUGGCUGCUAAUAAAGGCGAUGGCAAAGUGGUUCCGGGAUGCGCAGUCCGGCGGUUCCAUGGUAUGCUUGAUCCAGAUCAUCGGUGCUGAGAGAGGACUCUGCCCAAGGGUUGUGGCAUACUGUACGAGUUUAGGCGUUGUUCAUCAGCUUGUCAGAAAAAUCUUUGCUGUGAGCACAUUUGCUCCAUUUAUUGAGCACAUUUGCAGGGAGUAG